GGGGAAUCUUCCGCAAUGGACGAAAGUCUGACGGAGCAACGCCGCGUGAGUGAUGACGGCCUUCGGGUUGUAAAGCUCUGUUAAUCGGGACGAAUGGCUACCACGCGAAUAGUUUGGGAGUUUGACGGUACCGGAAUAGAAAGCCACGGCUAACUACGUGCCAGCAGCCGCGGUAAUACGUAGGUGGCAAGCGUUGUCCGGAAUUAUUGGGCGUAAAGCGCGCGCAGGCGGAUCUGCCAGUCUGUCUUAAAAGUUCGGGGCUCAACCCCGUGAUGGGAUGGAAACUACAGAUCUAGAGUAUCGGAGGGGAAAGUGGAAUUCCUAGUGUAGCGGUGAAAUGCGUAGAUAUUAGGAGGAACACCAGUGGCGAAGGCGACUUUCUGGACGAUCACUGACGCUGAGGCGCGAAAGCCAGGGGAGCGAACGGGAUUAGAUACCCCGGUAGUCCUGGCCGUAAACGAUGGGUACUAGGUGUAGGAGGUAUCGACCCCUUCUGUGCCGUAGUUAACGCAGUAAGUACCCCGCCUGGGGAGUACGGCCGCAAGGUUG
Molecule: ribosomal RNA, 549 nt
Filed under: uncultured bacterium
Lineage: Bacteria
Description: bacterial SSU rRNA
Rfam family: Bacterial small subunit ribosomal RNA
Source: RNAcentral